ACUGAAACCUUAUAAGUUAGACUGGCCAAAGACUGAUUAACAAGAGAAAAACAAGUCUACUUACAAGUUCGUUGUCUGUGUACACACAGGAACACUAAGAGUCUUCAAAGGAGAACGACCCAUUUCCCAAUUUACUUGAUAGAAGUCCCUAAACUCGGAGCAUCGAGUGUGAGGCUUUGGAGCUGCAAGUGCCUGAGCUUGGAUUUCAGGUUAAUUGUGGUCUCAGAUGCUGCCAUCUAACCAAUCUAAGAAUCCCAUGUUGGGCUGGAAAAUGCGUCUGGAGAGUAGGGGACGGUAUUUGCUGCUCAGUUGUUAGGUAUGAUAUGCUGUGCCCCCUAGAGGCAUUAAAAGUUUCUCUUCCUA
Molecule: long non-coding RNA, 363 nt
Filed under: Homo sapiens (human)
Lineage: Eukaryota; Metazoa; Chordata; Mammalia; Primates; Hominidae
Description: HSALNT0402699
Source: RNAcentral